This 40-nucleotide ribosomal RNA is filed under the name Tolypocladium pustulatum. RNAcentral describes it as "partial 18S ribosomal RNA". Lineage: Eukaryota; Fungi; Ascomycota; Sordariomycetes; Hypocreales; Ophiocordycipitaceae. The record is from RNAcentral. RNAcentral also lists the same sequence under 4 other names.
GUAACAAGGUUUCCGUUGGUGAACCAGCGGAGGGAUCAUU